GAGGCUGUAGCUCAGUCUGGUUUUAGAGCACUGCUCUGAUAAGGCAGGGGUCCACAGUUCAAAUCUGUGCAGCCUCA
This 77-nucleotide transfer RNA is filed under the name Candidatus Pacearchaeota archaeon RBG_13_33_26. RNAcentral's name for it is "tRNA-Ile". It matches the Rfam family "tRNA". From Rfam's summary of the family: Transfer RNA (tRNA) molecules are approximately 80 nucleotides in length. Their secondary structure includes four short double-helical elements and three loops (D, anti-codon, and T loops). The record is from RNAcentral. RNAcentral also lists the same sequence under 1 other name. Lineage: Archaea; Nanobdellati.